This 497-nucleotide ribosomal RNA is filed under the name uncultured bacterium. RNAcentral describes it as "partial 16S ribosomal RNA". It matches the Rfam family "Bacterial small subunit ribosomal RNA", at positions 28 to 507 of the family's 1533-position model. The record is from RNAcentral.
GAUGAACGCUGGCGGCGUGCCUAAUACAUGCAAGUCGAGCGAACGGACGAGAAGCUUGCUUCUCUGAUGUUAGCGGCGGACGGGUGAGUAACACGUGGAUAACCUACCUAUAAGACUGGGAUAACUUCGGGAAACCGGCUCUAAUACCGGAUAAUAUUUUGAACCGCAUGGUUCAAAAGUAAAAGACGGUCUUGCUGUCACUUAUAGAUGGAUCCGCGCUGCAUUAGCUAGUUGGUAAGGUAACGGCUUACCAAGGCAACGAUGCAUAGCCGACCUGAGAGGGGGGGCGGCAACACUGGAACGGAGACGCGGUACAGACUCCUACGGGAGGGAGCAGUGGAGAAGGUACCGCAAUAGGCGGAAGCCUAGCGGAGCGACGCCACGUGGGUGAAGAAGGGAUGCGGAUCGUGAAACUCUCUUAUUAGGGCAGAAAAUAAGUGUAAGUAACUGUGCACAUCUUGACGGUACCUAGUCAGAAAGCGACGGCUAACUACGUG